GACGAACCGAGCGAACGUUGUUCGGAAUCACUGGGCUUAAAGGGCGCGUAGGCGGGUGCUCAAGUCCGUGGUGAAAUCCUCCGGCUCAACCGGAGAACUGCCUCGGAUACUGGGCGUCUCGAGUGUGGUAGGGGUAUGCGGAACUAUCGGUGGAGCGGUGAAAUGCGUAGAUAUCAGGAGGAACACCGGCGGUGUAGACGGCUUGCUAGACCAUAACUGACGCUGAGGCACGAAAGCGUGGGUAGCAAACAGG
This 253-nucleotide ribosomal RNA is filed under the name uncultured bacterium. RNAcentral's name for it is "partial 16S ribosomal RNA". It matches the Rfam family "Bacterial small subunit ribosomal RNA", at positions 524 to 776 of the family's 1533-position model. The record is from RNAcentral.